This 400-nucleotide ribosomal RNA is filed under the name Phaneropterinae sp. Pak061. RNAcentral's name for it is "partial 12S ribosomal RNA". Lineage: Eukaryota; Metazoa; Arthropoda; Insecta; Orthoptera; Tettigoniidae. The record is from RNAcentral.
UAUUAUUUUAAUUGUUAAUAAUGUUGCUUGAGUAGUACUAGAUAUGUCCUUUAAACUCAAAGAAUUUGGCGGUAUUAUAGUCUUUCCAGAGGAAUCUGUCCUAUAAUUGAUAAUACACAUUUUAUUUUACUUAAUUUUGUAAAUUUCAGUUUGUAUAUCGUCGUCAUAAGAUUAUCUUUUUAGAGAUCUAAUUUUCUAGAUAUUUAUAUAAUAAGAUGACAGAUCAAGGUGCAGCUUAUGAUUAAGUUGAGAUGGAUUACAAUAAAUUUUAUUUAUCACGGAUAUUUCAUUUUARAUUUAAAUUGAAGGUGGAUUUGGAAGUAAUUUUGUUAUAUUAUGAUAUUAUGAUAUAAGCUCUAGAAUGUGUACAAAUCGCCCGUCGCUCUCAUGGUAAAAUGAG